GUGAGGAAUAUUGGUCAAUGGGCGCAAGCCUGAACCAGCCAUCCCGCGUGAAGGACGACGGCCCUAUGGGUUGUAAACUUCUUUUGUACGGGAAGCACGUGCGCUAUGUAUAGCGUAUUGACGGUACCGUACGAAUAAGCAUCGGCUAACUCCGUGCCAGCAGCCGCGGUAAUACGGAGGAUGCGAGCGUUAUCCGGAUUCAUUGGGUUUAAAGGGUGCGUAGGCGGCCCGGUAAGUCAGCGGUGAAAGUUUGCGGCUCAACCGUAAAAUUGCCGUUGAUACUGUCGGGCUUGAGUUCAGAUGAAGUGGGCGGAAUGAGUAGUGUAGCGGUGAAAUGCUUAGAUAUUACUCAGAACACCGAUUGCGAAGGCAGCCCACUAAACUGCGACUGACGCUGAUGCACGAAAGCGUGGGGAUCGAACAGGAUUAGAUACCCCUGUAGUCC
This 445-nucleotide ribosomal RNA is filed under the name uncultured bacterium. RNAcentral describes it as "partial 16S ribosomal RNA". It matches the Rfam family "Bacterial small subunit ribosomal RNA", at positions 354 to 796 of the family's 1533-position model. The record is from RNAcentral.